RNAcentral lists this ribosomal RNA (975 nucleotides) under Psychrobacter sp. 27F07n-MB1-4b. Its description in RNAcentral is "bacterial SSU rRNA". It matches the Rfam family "Bacterial small subunit ribosomal RNA", at positions 476 to 1450 of the family's 1533-position model. Lineage: Bacteria; Pseudomonadati; Pseudomonadota; Gammaproteobacteria; Moraxellales; Moraxellaceae. The record is from RNAcentral.
UAGCUGCAGAAUAAGCACCGGCUAACUCUGUGCCAGCAGCCGCGGUAAUACAGAGGGUGCAAGCGUUAAUCGGAAUUACUGGGCGUAAAGCGAGCGUAGGUGGCUUGAUAAGUCAGAUGUGAAAUCCCCGGGCUUAACCUGGGAACUGCAUCUGAAACUGUUAGGCUAGAGUAGGUGAGAGGGAAGUAGAAUUUCAGGUGUAGCGGUGAAAUGCGUAGAGAUCUGAAGGAAUACCGAUGGCGAAGGCAGCUUCCUGGCAUCAUACUGACACUGAGGCUCGAAAGCGUGGGUAGCAAACAGGAUUAGAUACCCUGGUAGUCCACGCCGUAAACGAUGUCUACUAGUCGUUGGGUCCCUUGAGGACUUAGUGACGCAGCUAACGCAAUAAGUAGACCGCCUGGGGAGUACGGCCGCAAGGUUAAAACUCAAAUGAAUUGACGGGGGCCCGCACAAGCGGUGGAGCAUGUGGUUUAAUUCGAUGCAACGCGAAGAACCUUACCUGGUCUUGACAUAUCUAGAAUCCUGCAGAGAUGCGGGAGUGCCUUCGGGAAUUAGAAUACAGGUGCUGCAUGGCUGUCGUCAGCUCGUGUCGUGAGAUGUUGGGUUAAGUCCCGCAACGAGCGCAACCCUUGUCCUUAGUUACCAGCGGGUUAAGCCGGGAACUCUAAGGAUACUGCCAGUGACAAACUGGAGGAAGGCGGGGACGACGUCAAGUCAUCAUGGCCCUUACGACCAGGGCUACACACGUGCUACAAUGGUAGGUACAGAGGGCAGCUACACAGCGAUGUGAUGCGAAUCUCAAAAAGCCUAUCGUAGUCCAGAUUGGAGUCUGCAACUCGACUCCAUGAAGUAGGAAUCGCUAGUAAUCGCGGAUCAGAAUGCCGCGGUGAAUACGUUCCCGGGCCUUGUACACACCGCCCGUCACACCAUGGGAGUUGAUUGCACCAGAAGUGGAUAGCUUAACCUUCGGGGAGG